RNAcentral lists this ribosomal RNA (497 nucleotides) under uncultured bacterium. RNAcentral's name for it is "partial 16S ribosomal RNA". It matches the Rfam family "Bacterial small subunit ribosomal RNA", at positions 28 to 507 of the family's 1533-position model. The record is from RNAcentral.
GAUGAACGCUGGCGGCGUGCCUAAUACAUGCAAGUCGAACGAACAGACGCGGCGCUUGCUCCUCUGACGUUAGCGGCGCACGGGUGAGUAACACGUGUAUAACCUACCUAUCAGACUGGGAUAUCUUCGGGACUCCGGCGCUAAUCCGGUAUAAUAUCUUGAAGCGCAUUGUGGGAUAGUGAGUGACGGCGUUUCUGGCACUUCUAGCUGGUUCUGGGCCGGAUGAGAUAGUUGGGGAGGUAAAGGGUUACCACGGGUACCAGGCGUAGCCGACCGGACGGGGUGAUCGGCCACACUGGAAGGGAGACACGGUCAAGACUACUACGGGAGGCAGCAGUAGGGAAUGGGCCGCAAUGGGCGAAAGCCUGACGGAGCAAGGCCGCGUGAGUGAUGAAGGUGUUCGGAGCGUAAAACUCUGUUAUGAGGGAAGAACAAAUGUGUAAGUAGCUAUGCCCUGCGUGACGGUACCUGAUCAGAAAGCAACGGCUAACUACGUG